AUGAGAUGUGGCGAGAGAUUUUGGAAGCAUGGCAACAAACUGCUAGCUCCCACGUUAAACCGGCCAGUGAUUACUAUGCGCCUCCAUGACUGGGCAACUUUGAGAAAGGUCAAUCUCAAGAAGCCAAAGGUGAGAGAGGCGCCGCACACACAAGAUCCAACAGAGAGAUUUGGCUAUGAUGGUCAUCGCACGGCACUAUUCAAUUCAUCAGUAGGAAAGCAGAGUUGCCACAAGCAUCAACUUAAUUUUCCUAGCAAAAUCCAAGAUCCAGCAGAGAGAUUUGGCUAUGAUAUUUUCCUAGUAAAAUCGCCACUAAAUAACAGGGAACACGCUCAUCACAUAGCAGUAUUCAAUUCAGUAUGA
RNAcentral lists this ribosomal RNA (363 nucleotides) under Triticum aestivum (bread wheat). RNAcentral describes it as "partial small subunit ribosomal RNA". Lineage: Eukaryota; Viridiplantae; Streptophyta; Magnoliopsida; Poales; Poaceae. The record is from RNAcentral.